This 482-nucleotide ribosomal RNA is filed under the name uncultured bacterium. Its description in RNAcentral is "partial 16S ribosomal RNA". It matches the Rfam family "Bacterial small subunit ribosomal RNA", at positions 30 to 507 of the family's 1533-position model. The record is from RNAcentral.
AUUGAACGCUGGCGGCAUGCUUUACACAUGCAAGUCGAACGGUAACAGGCCGCAAGGUGCUGACGAGUGGCGAACGGGUGAGUAAUGCAUCGGAACGUGCCCAGUCGUGGGGGAUAACUACUCGAAAGAGUGGCUAAUACCGCAUACGAUCUAUGGAUGAAAGCGGGGGACCGUAAGGCCUCGCGCGAUUGGAGCGGCCGAUGUCAGAUUAGGUAGUUGGUGGGGUAAAGGCUCACCAAGCCAACGAUCUGUAGCUGGUCUGAGAGGACGACCAGCCACACUGGGACUGAGACACGGCCCAGACUCCUACGGGAGGCAGCAGUGGGGAAUUUUGGACAAUGGGCGCAAGCCUGAUCCAGCAAUGCCGUGUGCAGGAAGAAGGCCUUCGGGUUGUAAACUGCUUUUGUACGGAACGAAACGGCUCUGGUUAAUACCCGGGGCUAAUGACGGUACCGUAAGAAUAAGCACCGGCUAACUACGUG